Molecule: unclassified non-coding RNA, 277 nt
Filed under: Hevea brasiliensis (rubber tree)
Lineage: Eukaryota; Viridiplantae; Streptophyta; Magnoliopsida; Malpighiales; Euphorbiaceae
Source: RNAcentral
GGGAGGGAUGGGGAGGAGGUGUGUAUGGUUUUUAUCUUUAGGAAUAUUAUGAUGUAAGGUUAAUUUAGGAAUGUAAAAUAUUAAAAUGUCAUUUUUUUGUCCAUGUUAUAAUGUUUAAUAGUAUAUUUUUGUCUUUUCAAAAGUUCACCCCCCUAUUCAUACUUUUUAUGACAAGUAUCAAUAGUUAAUAACUAUUUUCCUUUUUCAUCAUUUUUAUUUUAUUUUUUCUUUUACCACCUUGCUGAUAUUUUAUCAAAAAUUUCAGAAAAUUGCAAAG